UUCAUGAAGUCGGAAUUGCUAGUAAUGGCAGGUCAGCAUACUGCCGUGAAUACGUUCCCGGGCCUUGUACACACCGCCCGUCACACCAUGAGAGUUGGAGAUACCCGAAGCCUAUGAGCUAACUUUUAGAGGCAGUAGUCGAAGGUAGAAUCAAUGAUUGGGGUGAAGUCGUAACAAGGUAGC
Molecule: ribosomal RNA, 183 nt
Filed under: uncultured bacterium
Lineage: Bacteria
Description: partial 16S ribosomal RNA
Rfam family: Bacterial small subunit ribosomal RNA
Source: RNAcentral